RNAcentral lists this long non-coding RNA (1244 nucleotides) under Nicotiana tabacum (common tobacco). RNAcentral's name for it is "long non-coding RNA (NTAB_LNC010032)". Lineage: Eukaryota; Viridiplantae; Streptophyta; Magnoliopsida; Solanales; Solanaceae. The record is from RNAcentral.
CUGUUGUAACCUUCUACCUUCCGGUGGGUUACUGAUUUUAAGAUUUGCAGUAUAAGACUCAAAAGUAUUCCUCUUGUUAUACAGGUGGGUGCCUGAAUGCAAAAAAAUGAAAUGUAUGCCCGUAUUAUACUGGUGGGCGACCUAGAACAGAAAUGAAAAGACAGAAAUGUAUUCCCGCAUUAUACUGGUGGGCGACCUAGAAUAGAAAUGAAGAGACAGAAAAUGUAUUCCCGCAUUAUACUGGUGGGCGACCUAGAACUGAAAGUAUUCCCGCAUUUUACUGGUGGGCGACCUAGAGCUGAAAAGUAUUCCCGCAUUUUACUGGUGGGCGACCUAGAACUGAAAGUAUUCCCGCAUUUUACUGGUGGGCGAUCUAGAGCUGAAAAGUAUUCCCGCAUUUUACUGGUGGGCGAUCUAGAACUGAAAAGUAUUCCCGCAUUUUACUGGUGGGCGACCUAGAACUGAAAAGUAUUCCCGCAUUUUACUGGUGGGAGACCUAGAGCUGAAAAGUAUUCCCGCAUUUUACUGGUGGGCGACCUAGAACUGAAAGUAUUCCCGCAUUUUACUGGUGGGCGACCUAGAACUGAAAAGUAUUCCCGCAUUUUACUGGUGGGCGACCUAGAGCUGAAAAGUAUUCCCGCAUUUUACUGGUGAGCGACCUAGAGCUGAAAAGUUACCCGCAUUUUACUGGUUGGCGACCUAGAACUGAAAAGUAUUAAAAUUGUUUCCUCGUUCUUCCGAGGAAAUUUUUGACAAUCGGCAUAAAAUUUUCUGCCCCGGUUUUGUUGAUUUCCCUGGCAUCGCGUCUUGCUGCCAUCAUCCAUCCUUCGCUUUCCUGCAGCAGACAAAAGGAUUUAGUUAGUUUUAAUCAUGGUGGGAGGAGGUGCCUUUCCGGUGGAUGAUUUUUCCUCUCUUUCCCUUUUCUUGCUCUGUGCCCCCAUAACUGGUUGGUGGACAAAGUUGCUUGCUGGAGGUUUCCGGCCUGCUGGGGAUUGGUUUUCAAUUUAUCCCUUUUUCUGCUUUCUCUUUACAGUACAUGCCGUGGGAGUCUGCUUUUACUCCCGGAAACACUCCCUUUAGGAGUUUACUUCCUCCAAAACUGCAGGGCACAACAUUGCAUUGCCUGGGGCUAGCCUUUAGGACUGUUGGGGUUACCCUGCAUCGGAUGAAUCCCUCUUCGGUCUUUGGUAGUAAGCUUUAAAAAAUCCUUUUCAAGACAAAUUUUUAGAAAGAGAAAUAAAAAG